UGGGGAAUUUUGGACAAUGGGCGAAAGCCUGAUCCAGCAAUGCCGCGUGUGUGAAGAAGGCCUUCGGGUUGUAAAGCACUUUUGUCCGGGAAAGAAAUCCUUGGCUCUAAUACAGUCGGGGGAUGACGGUACCGGAAGAAUAAGCACCGGCUAACUACGUGCCAGCAGCCGCGGUAAUACGUAGGGUGCAAGCGUUAAUCGGAAUUACUGGGCGUAAAGCGUGCGCAGGCGGUUUGCUAAGACCGAUGUGAAUCCCCGGGCUCAACCUGGGAACUGCAUGGUGACUGGCAGGCUAGAGUAUGGCAGAGGGGGGUAGAAUUCCACGUGUAGCAGUGAAAUGCGUAGAGAUGUGGAGGAAUACCGAUGGCGAAGGCAGCCCCCGGGCCAAUACUGACGCUCAUGCACAAAAGCGUGGGGAGCAAAACAGGAUUCAGAUACCCUGGUAGUCCACGCCCUAAACGAUGUCAACUAGUUGUUGGGGAUUCAUUUUCCUUAGUAACGUAGCUAACGCGUGAAGUUGACCGCCU
Molecule: ribosomal RNA, 527 nt
Filed under: uncultured bacterium
Lineage: Bacteria
Description: partial 16S ribosomal RNA
Rfam family: Bacterial small subunit ribosomal RNA
Source: RNAcentral